RNAcentral lists this unclassified non-coding RNA (350 nucleotides) under uncultured Mortierella. RNAcentral describes it as "sequence contains ITS2". The record is from RNAcentral. Lineage: Eukaryota; Fungi; Mortierellomycota; Mortierellomycetes; Mortierellales; Mortierellaceae.
AACGCAUAUUGCGCUCUUUGGUAUUCCGAAGAGCAUGCUUGUUUGAGUAUCAGUAAACACCUCAAAGACUUUUUUUUUUCGGAAUUAAAUCUUUGGACUUGAGCAAUCCCAACACCAAUCCUUUACUGGAUCGGCGGAGGGUUGCUUGAAAUGCAGGUGCAGCUGGACAUUCUCCUGAGCUAUAAGCAUAUUUAUUUAAUCCGGUCAAACGGAUUAUUACUUUUGCUGCAGCUAACAUAAAGGGAGUUUGACCGUAUUGGCUGACUGAUGCAGGAUUUCACAGGGGGGUUGGCAACAACAACUUUGUAAAACUCGAUCUCAAAUCAAGUAAGACUACCCGCUGAACUUAA